UACGUAGGUGGCAAGCGUUGUCCGGAAUUACUGGGUGUAAAGCGCGCGUAGGCGGUAGGCCAAGUCUGCUGUGAAAUCGCCCGGCUCAACUGGGCGCGGUCGGUGGAAACUGGUCAACUGGAGGACGGUAGAGGCGAGUGGAAUUCCCGGUGUAGUGGUGAAAUGCGUAGAGAUCGGGAGGAACACCGGUGGCGAAGGCGGCAUUCUGGACCGAUAUUGACGCUGAGGAGCGAAAGCCAGGGGAGCAAACGGG
Molecule: ribosomal RNA, 253 nt
Filed under: uncultured bacterium
Lineage: Bacteria
Description: partial 16S ribosomal RNA
Rfam family: Bacterial small subunit ribosomal RNA
Source: RNAcentral